AGUGAACGCUGGCGGUAGGCCUAACACAUGCAAGUCGAACGGCAGCACAGUAAGAGCUUGCUCUUACGGGUGGCGCGUGGCGGACGGGCGAGGAAUACAUCGGAAACUACUUUUUCGUGGGGGAUAACGUAGGGAAACUUACGCUACUACCGCAUACGACCUACGGGUGAAAGCAGGGAAUCUUCGGACCUUGCGCGAUUGAAUGAGCCGAUGUCGGAUUCGCUAGUUGGCGGGGUAAUGGCCCACCAAGGCGACGAUCCGUAGCGGGUCUGAGAGGAUGAUCAGCCACACUGGAAGUGAGACACGGUCCAGACUCUUACGGGAGGCAGCAGUGGGGAAUAUUGGACGAUGGGCGCAAGCCUGAUCCAGCCAUACCGCGUGAGUGAAGAAGGCCUUCGGGUUGUAAAGCCCUUUUGUUGUGAAAGAAAAGCAGCAGGUUAAUACCCCGCUGUUCUGACGGUACCCAAAGAAUAAGCACCGGCUAACUUCGUG
RNAcentral lists this ribosomal RNA (492 nucleotides) under uncultured bacterium. RNAcentral's name for it is "partial 16S ribosomal RNA". It matches the Rfam family "Bacterial small subunit ribosomal RNA", at positions 29 to 507 of the family's 1533-position model. The record is from RNAcentral.